Homo sapiens (human) is the source of this 948-nucleotide long non-coding RNA. Ensembl annotates it as CYP1B1 antisense RNA 1. Its record names the gene CYP1B1-AS1. The record is from Ensembl. NCBI's taxonomy places the organism in Eukaryota, Metazoa, Chordata, Mammalia, Primates, Hominidae.
GAUGGGGACGGAGAAGGGUGCCUCGCUCGCCGAGCCCCGCUGCCCUUGGGGACCUGGCAAAGUCGAGGUUUCCUCACAGCGUUGAGAUUGAGACUGGGGGUCGUGGUCUCAAAUAGUCAAGACCCCCUGCUGGGAGGAGCUUCUAUCCUGCUCUGUGGAAGAAAUGGGCAUGCCAGAUGCCUGGAAGAUCAGAGGCUCACAUUCCAGCACCAUUCACAAUAGCAAGGACAUGGAAUCAACCUAAGAGCCCAUCAACAGUGGAUUGGAGAGAGAAAAUGAGGUACAAAUACACCAUGGAAUACUAUGCAGCCAUAAAAAAGAAUGAAAUCAUGUCCUUUCGCAACAUGGAUGGAGGUGGAAGGCAUUAUGACCUCCAUAAAUGACCUAAUGUAAGAACCUAAAACAAAAUAUUGCAUGUUAUCACUUGUAAGUGGGGCCUAAACGUUGAAGACACAUGAUCACGAAGAUGGGAACAAUAGGCACUGGGGAUCACUAGAUGGGGAAGGAAGGGAGCAGGGGGCAUGGGCUGGAGUGCCACCUGUUGCGUCCUAUACUUAUUCCCUGGGUGAUGGGAUCAUUGGGAUCCCAAGCCUCAGGGUGAUGCAAUUUACCCAUGUAAUAAACCUGCAUGUGUACCCUUUAAUCUAUGAUAAAAGUUGAAAUUAAAACAUAAACAAAUAAAAUCCUGAGUACUGUUUCAAAAAAUAUAUUUGAGGAAAGAAGGAAGGAAAGAGGGAUGGAGAGAUGGAGGAAGACUAAAGGAAGGAUCGUGGCCCUGAGAGAAUAGAGCACAGGCCAGGGGUGAGAUACAGAGUGAGAUGGGAGCUGAAUGGGGUCUCUGAAACUAGACAUGGAAGACACCAAAAGAAACAUUCCUACUUCAUCUUUCCCUGUGCCUGGGAUAAUUUACUCCUGGAUGGUAAAGAUAUGUCUUGGUUUCAUCUGUGU